AGAUGAGGAUGGAGGGCUGGGAGGAUAGUAAGAGAGGGAGCAGGGAGACCAGUUACGGGCCACUGAAGUAGUCAAGGUGUCAGACAAGAGCUUUGAGACAAGAGGACUCGUCUUAGAGAUAGAUUGCAUGAGGGCCAUGAGGGUAAGGGAGGUGUCCAAGCUGACCUCAGCCUUCUGGCUUGUCCACUGGUUGGAUGGGGUCACCAUUUUAUUGUAAUGGCGGAUACUGGUUGCAGAGAACUGAGUGUUGGAGGACCAUGAAUGAGUUCCAUUUCAGAUCUGCUCAGCUUGCUGUCCCUGGGAGACAACCACAGGAGUUGUUUAGGAGACACCGGGCUACUUCAGCCUGGAGCUCCAGGAGGAGGUCUGCAUUGGUCGUUGGGACAAUAGGACCAGGCAAACUCCAGGCUGAGAAAAGGACAAGUCCUCAGGUUUGAAGAUGUCUCCUCAUCAAAAUACUUCUACAUCACUCUUCAUUUUAUCCUUGACACACUAGCUGAGAGGCUGCCUGGAGGGUCCUGGGCCCUUGUUUUAGGGCACAUAAAAAUGAAGACCUCAUCACCAAGGGAAGGCCCCUGCAUCAGGUCUAACUAACCUGCACCAAGCCACGCCGCACACCAGACCACUCCAGCUUGACCACUGCUCCUCUGCCCAGACCCUUGAUGAAUAGUGCAGUCUUCUGCAGCGACUGCCACUGUUACAGCUCCACUGGCCCCGCAGCCGCCACACAGAUUCCUCCAGGGAUCCUCAGGACUCAGUGCACCAGAAUCUCAAGGACAUGGCAGGCUGCAGGACCCCAGUUGCACCAAACUGCCAUCCCCUCCUGCCUGGUUUCCCUUCUUCAUGAACCGAUCAAUGGGCCAUAGCCAGGUUGGGAUGCAUGUCUUCCACAGGAUGGGAACUACCUCCAGCUGAUCAGUUAACAGUUCAGUUGGGGACCUUUGAGUAAAAUAGAUGACCCUCUAUUAGGUGGUUGGGCCUCUUCCAAUCAGUUGACAGCCUACAGAGAACAAAGACUGAUCUCCCCCCAGCAAGAAGGAAUUCUCCAGCUGAAUGCCUUUGGACUGAAAUGACAACUCUUCCUUGAAUCUCCAGCCUGCCAGCCUACUCUGCAAAUUUUGGACUUACCAAGCCUCCAUGAUUACAUGAGCCAAUUCCUUAAAAUAAAUGUCCUUCUAUAUAUA
This 1184-nucleotide long non-coding RNA is filed under the name Homo sapiens (human). RNAcentral's name for it is "HSALNT0399266". The record is from RNAcentral. Lineage: Eukaryota; Metazoa; Chordata; Mammalia; Primates; Hominidae.